Molecule: ribosomal RNA, 393 nt
Filed under: uncultured eukaryote
Lineage: Eukaryota
Description: SSU rRNA
Rfam family: Eukaryotic small subunit ribosomal RNA
Source: RNAcentral
UCAAAGAUUAAGCCAUGCAUGUCUAAGUACAAGCUCGUCUCGAGCGAAACUGCGGAUGGCUCAUUAAAUCAGUUAUGGUUCAUUGGAUCGAGUCCCCGACAUGGAUAACUGUGGUAAAUUCUAGACCUAAUACAUGCGUCCAAGCGCCGACUUUCCAGAAGGCGUGCUUUUUAUUAGGAACAAGACCAGCCCGGUUUCGGCCGGCCACACUGGUGAACUCUGGAUAACACAGCCGAUCCGCACGGUCUUGCACCGGCGACGGAUCCUUCGAAUGUCUGCCCUAUCAACUUUCGAUGGUACGUUAUGCGCCCUCCCAUGGUCGUCACGGGUAACGGAGAAUCAGGGUUCGAUUCCGGAGAGGGAGCCUGAGAAACGGCUACCACAUCCAAGGGA